UGGGGAAUAUUGCACAAUGGGGGAAACCCUGAUGCAGCGACGCCGCGUGAACGAAGAAGGUAUUCGUAUCGUAAAGUUCUGUCCUAUGGGAAGAUAAUGACAGUACCAUAGAAGAAAGCUCCGGCUAAAUACGUGCCAGCAGCCGCGGUAAUACGUAUGGAGCGAGCGUUGUCCGGAAUUAUUGGGCGUAAAGGGUACGCAGGCGGUUUAAUAAGUCGAAUGUUAAAGAUCGGGGCUCAACCCCGUAAAGCAUUGGAAACUGAUAAACUUGAGUAGUGGAGAGGAAAGUGGAAUUCCUAGUGUAGUGGUGAAAUACGUAGAUAUUAGGAGGAAGACCAGUAGCGAAGGCGACUUUCUGGACACAAACUGACGCUGAGGUACGAAAGCGUGGGGAGCAAACAGG
RNAcentral lists this ribosomal RNA (403 nucleotides) under bacterium. Its description in RNAcentral is "partial 16S ribosomal RNA". It matches the Rfam family "Bacterial small subunit ribosomal RNA", at positions 355 to 776 of the family's 1533-position model. The record is from RNAcentral.